AACUUUUUUGGAAGGGCUGCAUUUAUUUGAUUUAAACCAAUAUGAAUUUUAUUCAUUGACAGGGUGAAACAAAAUAACUUAGCGAAUCGGACAGCCUUUGUGGAGGCGAUGAAUCAUUCGAGUUUCUGCCCGAUGAGGUGGGGAUGGUNGGGAUUGCACUACCAUGACUGGGACGGGGGAAGGAGAAUUANGGUUCGAUUCCGGAGAGGGANCCUGAGAGACGGCUACCACAUCCNGNGAGGGGGGGAGGCGCGUAUAUUAGUCGAUGUUGACUCGACGAAAUAAUGACGAGAAAUAACGAUGGGGAGCGCUUCGCGUUUUACGAUUGGAAUGAGAGAAAUAUACCACCCUCAUCNAGGAUCAAUUGGAGGGGAGGGCUGGUGCCAGCAGCCGCGCUACUUCCACCUCCAAUAACGUAUAUUAAAGUUGUUGCAGAUAAAAAGCUCGUAGUUGAAUUUCUGUCAGGAGGGACCGGGCCUUUGGAUGAACUUCCAUUGGUGUUUGGUCUGUUUGUCGUCUCUAGACAUCCUAGAUUACAUUUAUUGUAAUCUUCUUCCACUGUUGGCAAAAUAAAGUGUUCCAAGCGAAGCGUAGUUUUGAAUACAUUAAAAUGGAAUAAUAA
RNAcentral lists this ribosomal RNA (622 nucleotides) under uncultured marine stramenopile. RNAcentral describes it as "bacterial SSU rRNA". It matches the Rfam family "Eukaryotic small subunit ribosomal RNA", at positions 185 to 820 of the family's 1831-position model. The record is from RNAcentral.